This is a long non-coding RNA of Ixodes scapularis (black-legged tick), 6056 nucleotides long. RefSeq lists it as uncharacterized. The record is from RefSeq and is a predicted model, not a curated record. NCBI's taxonomy places the organism in Eukaryota, Metazoa, Arthropoda, Arachnida, Ixodida, Ixodidae. The transcript is spliced from 2 exons.
CUUAACCUGCACCUGGACUAUAGCUGAUGUAUUUCAGAACGUUACCCCGAAAAGUGAUUGAGCAAAGAUUUAGCUUUUUUUUUUUAAAUUGAAGGUGCACCAAGUUGGAUUUCAAGAUCGUCUUUUUAUGGUAUAGACUGAAUUAUGCGCCAUAAGCCUCCUCUAAAACCUCAAAUUAGUCGCACAUGGCCUUUCUUGCCCUUGAAAAUGCGACCAAAUGACGAGACGCGACCCUUUUUCGGGUUUCUCCGGAAAAGGGUAUCUGUCACACUGUUUGGUCUCGUGUUUAAGGGUGAAAAAGGCUGCGCACAAUUGUAAUUUCGGGUUUCGUAGGAUGCUUAGGGUGCGUCGGUUUAGUUUAUGCCACGUCACUUUAAGGUUUAGCACAUGGCCUCUCUUGCCCUUAAAAUUGCGACCAAAUGACAAGACGUGACCCUUUUUCCGAUUUCUCCAAAAAAGGGUAGUUUCACGCUUUUUCGCCCAUAUUUAAGGGUGAAAAAGGCUGCGCACAAUUGUAAUUUCGGGUUUCGUAGGAUGCUUAGGGUGUGGCGGUUGAGUUUGUGCCACGAAAAGACAAUCUUGAAAUCCAGCUAAGCAUCCCUUAAGUUUCUUGCUGCAUAAAUGCUGAAAAGCGAAAAUUCGCUAGCCCUUAUCGGUCUCAUAAUUAGCUUUAUUAAGAAAUUUAUUUUUGUUGGCUACUUUUGGAAGUCAAGCUGUCCAUCCAGCUGUUUCCUUGCAAUUUAUUCUCCAAGAAAAGAAGCGACGGGAAAAUGUGUAAUUUCAUUGCAGUUGCAGUUUAGUUUCCCGCACGAGUGUUCCUCUGAAGCUACUGAACGGUGAAUGGGAGGGUUUUAGGCUUCUUGCUUUAGACUGCCAUGCAGCUCAUAAGUUCAGACCAUAGGCCUUCGUCGCAGCAUCAAUCGCAGUCCAUCGAGUCGGAGGAGUGUGAAUGUGGAUUGCGCGGUUGAGUUCAGCCGAGACGAUUCCUGCUGCUCUUUCUUGGGCAGUCUUCUAGUGCUGACAUUUCACUGUGAUACCGUGUGCAGUGACGCUGGGGUAAGUGACAGCAAAGUGAAGUGUGAGUGCAUUAUGAAAGACACUGCUUACUACAGGUGUGUGUGGAAUGCUAGUAUGGAAUGUUUGCUUUGAGAAAUUCACUUCAUUCGGGCAUUGAUUGUGGAACAAACAAGUUUUUGAGGUGUUUCGUCGAUUGUGCGUACUGUUGAUCGCACAAAGUGUGGCAUUACCGAUGGGCCUCUUUGAAAGCACCGCAUUCUGUCGAAAGAUCAUGAAAUAGAGUGCAAUUCACUUAGAACGAUAAGGAGAAAACCCAAAAAUCUUUAUAACUGGUCAUUGUUGUAUCUGAACUAGAAAAUGAGCAUUUCUGGUCUAGAAACUCUAGGAACUGAUCGUUGUAAGCGGUACAUUGUUAUAUAUGACACUGUAUGUGGAUUGCACUGUGUUGCUCGGUGGUGGACUCGAGGCACAGUACCAAGCUUGCAUGGGCACAAGUGCUAACGUUUACGUCAUGUUUACCUCGAGAAAGGUUAUUUAGACUCGGACGUCUCGUAUCGCUGGCUGCUCCGCAAUGGUGCAUAAUUUUCGGACCGCGGAUGGAAGGAUGAGUCUUUUGGAAAAAGUUUGCAUCUUUCUACGAAAGUGCAAGGCAUGCAAUGAAACUCAAUCUUCGUGUUCAUCUUGUUUUAUAGCGAGCGUAUGGCAACACCUCAGGACGAACAUUAAAUUGCAGUGCGGGCAUUAUACUUUCUCGGGGGCAUAUUGGGCAUAUGGAUAUAAGCUGGGAGCUUAAGUGUAGAUGGUGAUUUUAUUUGCUUUUGGAACAGGACUGCAUGGUAAAUAUUAGUGUUAUGCGGAUAUUAGAAUAGUAGCUUUGAAUAAUGCGCUGUUCAAUAUUUGCUUGAAAAUGAACUGCGAUAUUCAUACUUUUCGAAUCGUUGAUCGCGGCAAGCUAGCCCUGUUGAGGGCACUUCAUACUGAGCACCUCUGCACUGCAGAGAAGGAACACCCCCAGAGCUUGCAGGUAUUGCUUCCUGCAGUGAACAGUUGCUCGGUGAGAAGUGCGAAGAAUAUAAGUUAGGCAGCAAUGUCUUGGCAACCCACGCUCAUCAUUCAAAAGUUUGUUGUUGUUGUUGUUAUUUUUGUCCAAUUUGAAAUUUAAAAAAAUAUUUGCAUAUAGCGAGCAGAUUUAUAAACCCCCUCGAUUAGGAUAGCUGGAACAAUUUUGUUGUUUAGAUUCCAAAGUUCAUGAAUAAUGCUAUACUACAAUUAAAGGGAAGCUGAAACACUUCUUUGAAAAAAGGAGAUAUAAAUUUUGAUUCUAGCAUAGUUUUAUCCCAUGAAUCUGAAUAUCAUGUUCAUUUUUCCCAAAGAUGUCACUAAACACGAGAGAACACGAAAAUCCUCUGACCAGUUCUUACGUCACAAGAGGAUGUUUUGCCGCCAAGCGCAUGUCACUCGAUGGCCACGCGUGCAAUUGCAAGCUUGUCAGGUAUAUUCCCUUACACUGGCACCAGUUGCGACAUCUUUUUAGGCCCUUUUUAAAAAUAGCAAGAGUGCGUGUGCACGGCUUUGAUAGGCGCUGAGGGUGCAUGAGAGCGAAGAUUCCAAAAACUCCUUUUGUGACUUCACGCUCCGGAAACUUCAACGAUACUUUGAAAAUGGUUUUCUGCAGCCUUUAUGCACCAAAUUUAAAAAAGAAAAAAAAAGAAUCUCUAUAUUUUGGAUUUUGGAGGUCGAAGGAAAACAAUUUAGGUGUGUUUUCUGAAAUACAAAACCGCUUCAGCUUCCCUUUGACCGAACUUAGAAGUGGACAAGUGAAAGGUUGGGAACAACCUUCAUGAGUUCAACUGAAUUUUCAUUUAAGCAUACACAUGAUAGUGAAAGGCUCCAAGAAACUAUUCAAUAUUUGAUUAGAAAAUAUUUUACCAAAACCACGAUUCGCCUUGGAACUCAGAAUCCACUAGUAGCACUUGACGUGUGAAUCUUCAUCAAUGCCUUAUACUUAUGUACUACACUUUGCCUUCCACUACACGGUUCUGCAUUCCCAUCGAAUAUAUGGAUGGGAUUUGAAGUCUCUCCGAUGACUUAUUAAUUUGGCUUGUGAACUGGCUCCGGCAAUUUUGCGAAUUUCCCCCGAAGGGAUUCUGGAGGCUUAUUCUCACGGCGCUAACAUGCGGCUCGAGAUACGGGAAAUGUGCACACGGUGCAUUUUCCUGAAUUUGCAGCCUGCACCAAGUUUGGUCGACAGCAGUGCCUCUCUCUCUCUCUCUCUCUCGGAAUAUCAGCCCAAGGUUUGCUUUUCAGACUCAGGUGGUUCACCCAAUCUUUUGCACAGCACAUUCUGAGAAGUAUCUCUCGAAAGGGUUUAUCAAUAGAAAAACAAAAAUAGAAAAAAAAAAAAAACACCAAUUUAGGCAAAUUCUUGGAACUGUUUUUCGGUCUCUUUUCGAGCCGUUGUCAAGGAACGAUCGACUGACAGAUUAACGACGUCUUUACUAGGUUUUAUGGUAUAUGGCCUCACGCAUGAGACGGCAGAAGAGUUGUCACGCAGUUUGGAAAAUACCGGCAAACUCUGAAAAUAUAGCCUGAGCUGGUUUUAUUACAAUCGGGAGGACCGAAAUGCCCCGAAUGGGAGCUGUCUUUGAAUGAGGGAAACCCAAGCUCGACGGAAAGGAAAUUUUUGAUCUCCAGCUUUAUUUUGCAUUCACCCAGAACACAUCCCCACCAAAUUGUAAGCUACACUCCUGCUUUCUUCAGAACCUCACCCCUUAUUUCGUUUCCUUUUCCAAUCGAUCCUUAAGUCUUCUUGCAGGUGUCCGAGUCUUGCGCGUUUUCCCUGGAGGUUGGGCUGUCCCCGUGUGCUAUUGGCUUCGACAUUAGCCUCGAUAAAAGCCAUUUAUUUGUCCGCCACUGAAAGUCGACACCAAAAAACACUAAAUCUGUGGAGAAAAAAAAAAUACUCCCAGAAAAAACACCCCCGAAUUUGAAGAAAAUUGAACCCCGAUAGCAAGAGCUCUACACAUCGUUUCACUUUUAGUCCAUGCGCAGUCGAUGCUACGUGCCGGUGGGACCAAUCGGACGGUGUCAAGGGGGCACCGUCAUGGUGUUCGCUGUGUUUCUGUAUGUGUUCCAUCAUCACUAGACCAAUCAUGUACAGGCAAGGCUUUGUGACGCGUGCUUUCGAUGCCGUCGGAUUAGUUCCAUUAGCUUAUAUAAAGUCGGUUGCAUCUGGGCUUAAACCGAAACCAAGUAUGGUUAUAAGCUAUUGUAAAAGACAACCUUGGGAACAUUUGCGUCGAGACGGGCGUCUCCUUUUCUACGAGCGUACUAUUUUGAAUGCGUUUUGGAGGAAGUUUAGCCAAAUGACCUACUGAAGUGGUUUUGUCUCGAAGAGAAAUCGCUCCGUGGCAGUUUGUCUGGCCUUGGUGCAUUUGUACGUCGCCGUUUAAUGCGUGGAUUUGCCGCCGAGGCUCAGAAACGUGCUCCACAAUUCAGUCGUGAAAGACGGAGAUUUCUCAACUAACUCUUGCGAAGGACCUUCCUUGUGUCACACAUUUCUAAGUUGCCAAACUUGCUGUGGAAAGUUCUGGUGCUCCUUUCGUUAGAUUGCCUUUGUUCAGAAAUGAAUUGGGGAACUCGCUGUGAUAGGUGCUCUGCCUGGGUUCAUAGCGUUUGAUUUCCCAGUAACGUCCAAUUCGCUUCUUCGAGUUGCGCAGCUGCAUUUUCCUUAUACAUAUUUUGUGGUUGCUAAUUUUCUCUACACGACUGCCAUACGAUAGUGACCAGGGGUGGACAAAUAAACGAGCACGCAUGGGCCACCAAUGUUGGGAAUGGGUGCAGUACGAGUGAAAUACACUGUAGGAAUGUUUCGGACACUCUUAAGUAAAAUUAAUCUGGAUGUUGCUAAUAAUACAUGUCUGAAUUUCAAGAAAAAAAUUGCAAAGUAAUUGUUUAAUGAUAUUUUAUUGUUUCUGCUCCACUUAGUGUUUUAUAAUGUUGUUCAAGAAGUGAGCCAUAUUUUUGCUCGAGAUAUCCUGCUUAUAGAGACCAAUUAUAUUUUUUACAAAUGUCUUCUUAACUUUAUUUCUCCAGUAUAUCCAUUGAAAAGAUUAUUGAUUGUGCAUUCUUUACUUUUUUUUUUUGUAUCUUUUCAAGGCUCUCAGUUUUAUGUCACAUUGUAGAAUGCACAUUUUGUCGGUAGGAGCUUGCUCACCCAAUCCUGGCAAUAGGCCGGCUGUCUUUCUUCUAAGUGCGUUUUAUCCAGUCAUGGUUGCAUGAGGUAAGAUGUUGAUCGGAACUAUUGUGGUCACAAAAACUUAAUGCUUCUGCACAUUUGAUAAAAAUUUUGCAGACCAUGUUGAGAGCCACAGGUUAUACUCUAACAUUGCAGCCUGCGUUUUCUAGCUUUAAAGAGAAAACACCAUUUUUAAGUCUGAGAUUCCAUGCAUGUUCACAUGACGGCCAAAGAUAGUCUCGAAUGUCCGAAGCCCCACUCUAGCUGCCCAAUGUUGUUUUUCUGAUUCUCUAACAGAUUUGACCCUGUACAUACGUGAAUUGUAAAUGGAGAUGUAACAAACUUUUAAGCCCUCUUCAACAAGGACUGCAUUUAUACUCUAAGUCAUCUCAUUAUAAGUGAGGCCCAUGAUGUCACAUGUGUCACAUUGUCUUUUCAUGUGCUCAAUCAUGUGUACCCUAUGUCGGAGCUCCCUGUGCCAUAUUUUAUAAGAGGGUUUCUAAUCCGCGUGUAGCUAGAAUUUGGAGUGCAGAUUAGUAACCAGUGGAGAGGUGGAUUGUGCUUGGCUGGACUGUGCUAGUGUGUGUGUGUGCUUUGGAUAGAAUGCCUGUAGUGCUUUUCACUACGUCACCUGGACUUUCUGGAAGUGCAUGUUUGCAAGUAUUUUGCGUGUGAGCCUCUGUUUGUACAUUGUUCCAAACAUGUCUGGAGGUGAGUGGACCUGGAGAGAUUAACAUAGUCAUUUUUUCCUAACAAUAGCUUGUACAUCCAAAUGGAAAUAAACUAUUUAUUUGUCACUGCA